AUUUUCUACUUUAAUCUAAUUUGAAUUAUUCUAAACGAACUAGAAAAAUUUGAACAUACAGACUUAAUAUUUAUAAUAAUUUAAAAUUACACUUACAAUGAAUUUUAGAAUUAAAUAUAAUUCUAUUCCUUAAAACUUAUAAUUUUUUAAUUAAUACAAUAUUCUAAAUAAUAAAAUUUAAAUUUAAUUUAUUCUAAAUUUUAAAUUUCUAAUAGAAAAUAUCUAAAUUAUUUAAAAAUUUUAAAAUUAUCUCAUUAAAUUUUAAAUUUUGAAUUUAUAAAAAAAUUUAAGCAAUGAAGCUUUUAAUUUAGAAAAAAACUAUAUUCCAAAUUUCAAUAAAUGACUUAAAGAAUGUUAGGGCGUGUUUGGUUCGAAGUUGAAAUCGGAAUCGGAAUCAGAAUUAAAAUAAGCUGGAAUCGGAAUCGGAAUGACUCAUUAUCUAAUUCUGUUUGGUUCAUCACCUGAACCGGAAUCGGAAUCGGAAUGACUCAUUACCUAAUUCUGUUUGGUUCAUCACCUAAACCGGAAUCGAAAUAUAUCAUUCCCAUUAUCGGUGUUUGGUUCAGGUAGAUAUAAAAAACGUAAUCAAAUUAAUAAACUAACAUUN
Molecule: long non-coding RNA, 607 nt
Filed under: Ananas comosus (pineapple)
Lineage: Eukaryota; Viridiplantae; Streptophyta; Magnoliopsida; Poales; Bromeliaceae
Description: long non-coding RNA (ACOM_LNC037076)
Source: RNAcentral